Molecule: ribosomal RNA, 88 nt
Filed under: Lysobacteraceae bacterium
Lineage: Bacteria; Pseudomonadati; Pseudomonadota; Gammaproteobacteria; Lysobacterales; Lysobacteraceae
Source: RNAcentral
ACCUGAUCCCAUCCCGAACUCAGAAGUGAAACGCGCAUGCGCCGAUGGUAGUGUGGCUUUGCCAUGCGAGAGUAGGUCACCGCCAGGG